RNAcentral lists this small RNA (625 nucleotides) under Pongo abelii (Sumatran orangutan). RNAcentral's name for it is "processed transcript". The record is from RNAcentral. Lineage: Eukaryota; Metazoa; Chordata; Mammalia; Primates; Hominidae.
UUUGUUCCAGGUUCCCAGCCCGGCGAGUUCACGCUGGGCAACACUAAGGGUUACCCGGGAUUAACGAGUUACCUCGUCCGAGUGGUGAGCACCAACUACAACCAGUAUGCCAUGGUGUUCUUCAAGAAAGUUUCUCAAAACAGGGAGUACUUCAAGAUCACCCUCUACGGGAGAACCAAGGAGCUGACUUCGGAACUAAAGGAGAACUUCAUCCGCUUCUCCAAAUCUCUGGGCCUCCCUGAAAACCACAUCGUCUUCCCUGCCCCAAUCGACCAGUGUAUCGACGGCUGAGUGCACAGUGAGUAUGACUGGGCGGCUGUGAGGGGGCUUGUGGGAGGCCAGGGUGCAGCGGGCUGGGGGUCUUGGGCCUGCCUUUGCUCUUCCCCCUGCCCCCCAGCACUGCUGCUGUCUUUAUUCUGCUGUCCCCAUCUCGGGUGCCUCCCAUUUCCCCGCCCAUCACCCUCAUAUCCACCUCUGUCCAGGGUGCCACCAGCUGCCGCACCAGCCCGGACACCAUUGAAGGAGCUGGGAGACCCUCCCCACAGUGCUACCCACCCAGCUGCUCCCCAGGCCACCCCACUGAUGGAGCCCCACCUUGUCUGCUAAAUAAACAUGAACCCCCAGA